This is a long non-coding RNA of Solanum tuberosum (potato), 1199 nucleotides long. RefSeq lists it as uncharacterized. The record is from RefSeq and is a predicted model, not a curated record. The transcript is spliced from 2 exons. Lineage: Eukaryota; Viridiplantae; Streptophyta; Magnoliopsida; Solanales; Solanaceae.
UAUUUGUGUCCACAUUUUUCUUUCUUUACCUUCUGCUUCAUCUUUCUCAUUCUUCCUCUCUGCCUUUCCCAAUCCUCACAUCUCUCUAAAACAAAAUUUAUGCAGAAAAUUUCAAAUCAAUAAACCCAACAACUAUUAGAUGCUUCAAAGGUUUAAGGUGAUCUAAAGUUCUCAAUUUAGAGUUAUAGCUCUCAAUCUCUCCCAACUCACUCUCUUUCAAGAUCUAAACGGAUCUUGUUGAUUGGGUAUUUCGGAUUUCUUGACAUCGCAGGCCAAAUUCGCCCAUGAAUUCUGGCAGAGGAAACUGGAAGAGAACAUGUUUGCAAGUUCUUAAAUUAGUUGUUGAAUUGGAGGCUUAGUUAGUCAAAGUCGACAGUUGAAAGAGGUCAGUCCACCUGGUUUUUCUCAAAAUAAUUUGUCAUUGAUACAGUUCCAUUGAAGCUAAAUUUAUCAAAAUACAUGUUCCCUCUAUUAAAUUUUUGCAAAAUCUUUUGUUGCUUGCAAUGAAAAACGCUGAAUUGAUGACCAAACGAUCAAAUCCUAUUAAAGAGAGAGGCUUUAAUUUGUAAUUUUCUGAUAAACCUGAUUAGUUUACAUUACAGAUGUUGCACCAGUUCCCCAUAUGUUUACACAUUCAGGUAUUUCUUAUCUGGCUUAAAAUAUCACAUUAGUUGUAUUUUCUGUUUUGAGAGAUUCAAUACUUAUCUUUUGUGUGAACUUUGUGGGUUAUUCUCAAAUGAGUUUCAUUUGACUUGUAUUGCGCUCGAAGUCUAUUUGAACGCUACUUGACUGUCAAGAGAGGUGGGUAAAUUGAUUCAACUGAUGCUGACAUUUGGUAUUAAAUAUAUAUUUGUAAUUUCUAGGCAUUUUGUAUUACAAUUUCGAUUAGCAGUAUGGUAUUGAAGAGGAAAUGAACGAUGUGAAGAGGUGUGUUGGAUUGAUGUACGGUGAAAAAUGGUAAGCUACUGACCAGGAUGAUUUUACAGGCAUAAUAUCAAAAAUGGAAGAAGUCAAAGUUGAUGGUGUGUCAAAUGUAAAGGACCAGUUUCUAAACAUCAUGCAACAAAACUAGCAUAAGAUAAGUUGUCUAGAUAAGAAUUGUAUAUUGUAGGAUGCUCGCCUAAUGUGUCAAAUAAAUGGUACAGAAGAAACUUUAAACUUGAGGUAAUGUUCUAUAUUUAAUGGCUACUUAUGUUCAA